CCCGGAGUUUGGGGAAGCCUGCUCUAGACUGUAAGCUUGUUUGAGCAGAAUCCUCAUCUACCUAUUGUUCCUGUGUAAUUGUCUCAUUUAUUGUUAAAUGUCCCCAUUUCAUAAUAUUGUAAAGCGCUGCGGAACAAGUUGGCACCAUAUAAAUACUAAUAAUGAUAAUGCUACACAGCCAUAUAGUGUACUAGAAAUAUAUCUACUCUUGAGCGACCCCUGCUGGCCGAACAAAGUACAUCUAAAGAUCAAGAACGGGACUACAUAACACAAAAUUAG
Molecule: non-coding RNA, 279 nt
Organism: Pelobates cultripes (western spadefoot toad)
Lineage: Eukaryota; Metazoa; Chordata; Amphibia; Anura; Pelobatidae
Source: the annotation of a GenBank genome assembly